GUUUACGAACAGAGAUUUCUGUUAGGGAAUUCUGUUGACCGAGGGGAAGGUGUUAGGUACCCCUCAAUCCCGUGGUUUGACCACGGUCGCUUUGUGGAGUAUAUCGACUGGUACGACACUAUGAAUGUCUAAACCACAUAAAAUACACAAAAAAAUCAAUCAAACAAACAAACAAGUUCAAAAAUAUAAUGUCCCGUCCAAAUUAAACAGUCCCAAAAAUAGAAAAAUGCGGAAAAGUAAAUCCUAUUCUAAACUAAUCCUAGACUAAGCUCCAAUGCUUUACCCGAUGCCUCGGGCCUUCAUCACAAACCUCCUUUGCGUACAUGAGAUGUCGGGGCAUUCCUUGGUGAAUAAAUACAAUGUGACCUCAGGACAUUCCCCGGCGAAUGAAUACAUUUGAUGAAAUGUAAUAAAAGUAGAUGCCUCAUUCAACACAGACAUUCACACAUUCAAUGAUAUAGAAUACUAUGAGUUGACUACCCCAAAACCUAAAAUUUGGCUAUCAUGCUUUCGUCCUAAAACAUGAUCCUACUGAGCUCACAAAAUUGAUAUUUAUUUCGCAUUAAACAAAACAAUAAUAAAUCAAAAUUAAUCCAAAUUCACUUUUUCAUCAAGUUUUUGAUUUCCACCCCGAUUUUGUUAUCCAAUUACCAAUUUCAAUUAUCCAAUAAAAUAUUAUUUUCAUCUAUUGUACCAUUCAAGAUCAAUCAUUCAACUCAAACUCAUGUCAAGCAACAAAUCACCCCUAAAUAGAACAAACACAUCAAAAUACCUCCAUAAUCAUAUAAAAUUAAAGGAAUAGAGUUGAAGAUUGGACCUCAAUUUGAUGAUUUAUUUUCAAUUAAAUAUGGAGGAGCCUUUCAGAUUCAGAACCUUGAAUCAAACCUCAACAGUCAACAAACGAGACCGCAACUCGAAGAAAACACAAAACCAAUAAGAAACUUCCAAACGAAACCCAAUUUGCUGAUUUCAAACUAGGCUUAAAUGGCUUGUUGGAAUCAGGGCCGGAUUAUCGUUUCCAUCAUAUCAGAGCUGCGGCGGACCAGACAGUCCAUGAAAUAGGUCUUUCGCUGGAGAAAGACCGCAAAAAAGGGAAUAGCAAUUUUUGGGGUUGUGAAUGACCCAUUUCCGUAAGGGUAUUCCGAUUCUGGAAAAACAAACUUACCAGAAAAUAGUUGAAUCUGCCUAUUUUUUGUCACCCAAACCACUCACCUUUCUCUCUCUUAGUCUAUAUCUUCCUUCGGCUUCUCUGUAUGUGCGUAUGUGCGAUGGCAGUGUGUGUACGAGUUUGUUCGUGGAUGAAUCUGUGAGGAUGAGUGAUUCCCAUUGGAGAUGAGUUUAUGAGUGUGUGUAUUUAUGUGUGUGAAUUGAGUGUGUUUUGUGAAUUCUCGAUGGAGGAUGUUGUAUGAGUGCAUGUGUGUGAUGAAUUGUGAAGGGAAUCUGUGUUGUUGUUAUCUGAGUGAGUCUCGAUGGUGGUGAUAGAGUUUACAUUUUAAUGGUGUGUGUAUAUGUAUAUAAUACGUGUGAAUUCCGUUUAAUGGGAAAGAAAAUUUGCCUUUGAUUGAGGGGCGAGGUAGGGGUAUGUGGGUAAGAGGU
Molecule: long non-coding RNA, 1596 nt
Filed under: Capsicum annuum
Lineage: Eukaryota; Viridiplantae; Streptophyta; Magnoliopsida; Solanales; Solanaceae
Description: long non-coding RNA (CANN_LNC009528)
Source: RNAcentral